GCUCCGGUGGCCUAGUGGUUACAGCGACUACCUUGGAUGCAGGAGGUCGCUGGUUCGAAUCCCGGCUGAGUA
Potamilus streckersoni is the source of this 72-nucleotide non-coding RNA. Lineage: Eukaryota; Metazoa; Mollusca; Bivalvia; Unionida; Unionidae. The record is from the annotation of a GenBank genome assembly.